AACGUUUAAAAAAAUGAAACAAAGUUGUCAUAAAGUUCAAGGAUAUGAAGGCAUUUUUCUUCAUGAGACAGCCAUUGUUCUACCUGCCACCAUUUAACGACAAGACGAUCACAAAUAUUUCCUCAAAGCUUCACUGUUGAAAGAAAGCAGAUACUAAACUAACCGGUUUUCAUGUUGUAUUGUGAAUUACUUUUCUGAUACAGCUCAAAUAUUUAGUUUAAACGAUAGCUCAUUAAUCAUUCUGUUAAUUUCAAUAGAAAAAACUUAGCAAAAGUUGAACAUGUCCAACUUUUAAAAAACUUAUAAAAUUGAAAGACAGUUGUAUAUCUUUCCUGUUUACACGUUGAAAGACACAAACGCAAAAGACAAAUUAUUUUGAAGAUGUUGAUUGCUGAUUCAAAUAAAAGAAAAAAUAAAGAAGAAAAAAGAACGAAAACUUCCAAGAUACUUGACGUGAUCUACGAAAGGCGUUCAGUCACAAUUAUGUCAAAGCGACGAGUUCGAAAAAGUGGUAAAAAGUCGCGAACAGUUGUAAAAAUAUAACAAAGAAUAUAAAAAUUAUAAUGUUUUUUCCUCUCAUUAAAAAUUAAUGCUGUGUUUCCUUUAAUCGAAUACGGCAUUCUUUUAUCCCUUCCCUUCAUAGUUUCGAAUAGCAAGAAACGUAUCUGUGAUCACCUUUUACCACCUUGUAUUUAAACAUAGAAGAUUUUCUUCAAUAUGGCCAAUAUUCCGGGGGGCGAUUAACAGAUACUUCUAUUAGGAGAAGACUGAACGAAUUUUUUAGCUGUUUUUUUGACAAUGUAUAUUUUAUUUUUGUAUAUGGUGGGAUGGAAUUUGGAUAUCAGAAUGUAGUAUUUAAAGGGGUAUAAAAGUGCCACAGGUGGCUUGCGAUAACAGUGACAGGGGGUGGACAGUAAUUUAAAAAUAACGAGUUACAAAAACACUUACAACGCUUCAACACGUGUCACCUUUUUUUUCAAAUAAAAAACAUCUUGCAGGUGCAUCAAAUCUGUUCAGCGCAGAUAAAAUAAUGUUAUCCUUUUGCGCAAAACGUUUUAUGAGCUAAUAUCCCAUCAGACAGCAGUCCAUGUCUAUUUCGGACUAUUCCAGCGAAAAAACGGGUUAACGUGCUAAUAACAAUAAUAAAAUGUCCGGAAAAAUAACCACAUGACAAACGGCAGCCGUAUAUUUUUUGAACUCACCAACUCGCAACUCGCGACUGGCAUACUCAUUAACUCACCGACUCGAAGGUUAUCUAUACUCUUUUAGAAAGCAUUUGAAAUUAACGUUAAUUUAAGAUGCUUUCUUAAAAAUCAUGCUUUUUUCUUUCGCUUUUGUCUUAGCCUAGAAGUGAUGUGGCCAUAGAGUGAAGAGAGAAAUGUUUUUAUAGAAUGAUGUACUCAAGAUCCUAAGGAAGAUUUUGUUAACAUUGUAAGACCGUGUAAAUAAAUAUCUAACAGACAAACUUUAUUUUUAUUUAUUACGUUAUCUCUUAAGGACUGUGAUGGUAGUUUUUGUUAGCU
Hydractinia symbiolongicarpus is the source of this 1523-nucleotide long non-coding RNA. RefSeq lists it as uncharacterized. The record is from RefSeq and is a predicted model, not a curated record. The transcript has 3 exons. Lineage: Eukaryota; Metazoa; Cnidaria; Hydrozoa; Anthoathecata; Hydractiniidae.